RNAcentral lists this ribosomal RNA (587 nucleotides) under uncultured Bradyrhizobium sp. RNAcentral describes it as "bacterial SSU rRNA". It matches the Rfam family "Bacterial small subunit ribosomal RNA", at positions 46 to 677 of the family's 1533-position model. The record is from RNAcentral. Lineage: Bacteria; Pseudomonadati; Pseudomonadota; Alphaproteobacteria; Hyphomicrobiales; Nitrobacteraceae.
GCUUAACACAUGCAAGUCGAGCGGGCAUAGCAAUAUGUCAGCGGCAGACGGGUGAGUAACGCGUGGGAACGUACCUUUUGGUUCGGAACAACACAGGGAAACUUGUGCUAAUACCGGAUAAGCCCUUACGGGGAAAGAUUUAUCGCCGAAAGAUCGGCCCGCGUCUGAUUAGCUAGUUGGUGAGGUAAUGGCUCACCAAGGCGACGAUCAGUAGCUGGUCUGAGAGGAUGAUCAGCCACAUUGGGACUGAGACACGGCCCAAACUCCUACGGGAGGCAGCAGUGGGGAAUAUUGGACAAUGGGCGCAAGCCUGAUCCAGCCAUGCCGCGUGAGUGAUGAAGGCCCUAGGGUUGUAAAGCUCUUUUGUGCGGGAAGAUAAUGACGGUACCGCAAGAAUAAGCCCCGGCUAACUUCGUGCCAGCAGCCGCGGUAAUACGAAGGGGGCUAGCGUUGCUCGGAAUCACUGGGCGUAAAGGGUGCGUAGGCGGGUCUUUAAGUCAGGGGUGAAAUCCUGGAGCUCAACUCCAGAACUGCCUUUGAUACUGAAGAUCUUGAGUUCGGGAGAGGUGAGUGGAACUGCGAGUGUA